CAAAAAUGUAGGUUAAACUCCUUCUCUUACUA
This 32-nucleotide transfer RNA is filed under the name Hoplisoma nattereri (blue corydoras). RNAcentral's name for it is "Corydoras nattereri partial tRNA-Met". The record is from RNAcentral. Lineage: Eukaryota; Metazoa; Chordata; Actinopteri; Siluriformes; Callichthyidae.